UAAGCAUAUCAAUAAGCGGAGGAAAAGAAACCAACAGGGAUUACCUCAGUAACGGCGAGUGACGCGGUAACAGCUCAAAUUUGAAAUCUGGGUCUUUCAGGCUCCGAGUUGUAAUUUGUAGAAGAUGCUUCGGGUGCGGCUCCGGUCUAAGUUCCUUGGAACAGGACGUCAUAGAGGGUGAGAAUCCCGUAUGUGAUCGGUUGCUUGCGCCCAUGUGAAGCUCUUUCGACGAGUCGAGUUGUUUGGGAAUGCAGCUCCAAAUGGGUGGUAUAUUUCAUCUAAAGCUAAAUAUUGGCCAGAGACCGAUAGCGCACAAGUAGAGUGAUCGAAAGAUGAAAAGCACUUUGGAAAGAGAGUUAAACAGUACGUGAAAUUGUUGAAAGGGAAGCGCUUGCAACCAGACUUGCGUGUCGUCGAUCAUCCGGGGUUCUCCCCGGUGCACUCGGCUUCACUCAGGCCAGCAUCGGUUUCGGUGGUUGGAUAAAGGCCUUGGGAAUGUAGCUCCUCUCGGGGAGUGUUAUAGCCCUCGGUGCAAUGCAGCCUACCGGGACCGAGGACCGCGCUUCGGCUAGGAUGCUGGCGUAAUGGUUGUAAGCGACCCGUCUUGAAACACGGACCAAGGAGUCUAACAUCUAUGCGAGUGUUUGGGUGUCAAACCCAUACGCGUAAUGAAAGUGAACGGAGGUGAGAACCCUUAAGGGUGCAUCAUCGACCGAUCCUGAUGUCUUCGGAUGGAUUUGAGUAAGAGCAUAGCUGUUGGGACCCGAAAGAUGGUGAACUAUGCCUGAAUAGGGUGAAGCCAGAGGAAACUCUGGUGGAGGCUCGCAGCGGUUCUGACGUGCAAAUCGAUCGUCAAAUUUGGGUAUAGGGGCGAAAGACUAAUCGAACCAUCUAGUAGCUGGUUCCUGCCGAA
Molecule: ribosomal RNA, 913 nt
Filed under: Neofabraea kienholzii
Lineage: Eukaryota; Fungi; Ascomycota; Leotiomycetes; Helotiales; Dermateaceae
Description: LSU rRNA
Rfam family: Eukaryotic large subunit ribosomal RNA
Source: RNAcentral